GACGAACGCUGGCGGCGUGCUUAACACAUGCAAGUCGAACGGAAAGGCCCUGCUUUUGUGGGGUGCUCGAGUGGCGAACGGGUGAGUAACACGUGAGUAACCUGCCCUUGACUUUGGGAUAACUUCAGGAAACUGGGGCUAAUACCGGAUAGGAGCUCCUGCUGCAUGGUGGGGGUUGGAAAGUUUCGGCGGUUGGGGAUGGACUCGCGGCUUAUCAGCUUGUUGGUGGGGUAGUGGCUUACCAAGGCUUUGACGGGUAGCCGGCCUGAGAGGGUGACCGGCGACAUUGCGACUGAGAUACGGCCCAGACUCGUACGGGAGGCAGCAGUGGGGAAUAUUGCACAAUGGGAGGAAGCCUGAUGCAGCAACGCCGCGUGCGGGAUGACGGCCUGCGGGUUGUAAAACGCUUUCGCCUGUGACGAAGCGUGAGUGACGGUAAUGGGUAAAGAAGCACCGGCUAACUACGUG
RNAcentral lists this ribosomal RNA (468 nucleotides) under uncultured bacterium. RNAcentral describes it as "partial 16S ribosomal RNA". It matches the Rfam family "Bacterial small subunit ribosomal RNA", at positions 28 to 507 of the family's 1533-position model. The record is from RNAcentral.